GACGAACGCUGGCGGCGUGCUUAACACAUGCAAGUCGAACGAAGCGCGAUGGAAGCUUGCUUCUAUCAAUCUUAGUGGCGAACGGGUGAGUAACGCGUAAUCAACCUGCCCUUCAGAGGGGGACAACAGUUGGAAACGACUGCUAAUACCGCAUACGAUCUAAUCUCGGCAUCGAGGAUAGAUGAAAGGUGGCCUCUACAUGUAAGCUAUCACUGAAGGAGGGGAUUGCGUCUGAUUAGCUAGUUGGAGGGGUAACGGCCCACCAAGGCGAUGAUCAGUAGCCGGUCUGAGAGGAUGAACGGCCACAUUGGGACUGAGACACGGCCCAGACUCCUACGGGAGGCAGCAGUGGGGAAUCUUCCGCAAUGGACGAAAGUCUGACGGAGCAACGCCGCGUGAGUGAUGACGGCCUUCGGGUUGUAAAGCUCUGUUAAUCGGGACGAAAGGCCUUCUUGCGAAUAGUGAGAAGGAUUGACGGUACCGGAAUAGAAAGCCACGGCUAACUACGUG
This 510-nucleotide ribosomal RNA is filed under the name uncultured bacterium. Its description in RNAcentral is "partial 16S ribosomal RNA". It matches the Rfam family "Bacterial small subunit ribosomal RNA", at positions 28 to 507 of the family's 1533-position model. The record is from RNAcentral.